UACAGAGGUCUCAAGCGUUGUUCGGAUUCAUUGGGCGUAAAGGGUGUGUAGGUGGCGCGCUAAGUCGGGUGUGAAAUUUCGGAGCUUAACUCCGAAACUGCAUUCGAUACUGGCGUGCUUGAGGACUGGAGAGGAGACUGGAAUUCAUGGUGUAGCAGUGAAAUGCGUAGAUAUCGUAAGGAAGACCAGUGGCGAAGGCGGGUCUCUGGACAGUUCCUGACGCUGAGGCACGAAAGCUAGGGGAGCAAACGGG
This 253-nucleotide ribosomal RNA is filed under the name uncultured bacterium. Its description in RNAcentral is "partial 16S ribosomal RNA". It matches the Rfam family "Bacterial small subunit ribosomal RNA", at positions 524 to 776 of the family's 1533-position model. The record is from RNAcentral.